UCAAGCUAAUCUGCCCUGGGUAAGUCGGGACCUAAGGCGAGGCCGACAGGCGUAGUCGAUGGACAACGGGUUGAUAUUCCCGUACCGGCGAAGGACCGCCCAUGCCAAGCGGGGGAUACUAACCGCCCGGAGCCUGCCCAAUCACCCUUGUGGUGUGCGGGUUUUGGCCGAGCGCGGGACCUGAUCCCGGGAGGUAAGCGUAUUAACAGGUGUGACGCAGGAAGGUAGCCGGGCCGGGCGAUGGUUGCCCCGGUCUAAGGAUGUAGGGUCAGCGAUAGGCAAAUCCGUCGCUGUGUCUUGGAUGACGUUCCUGAGAUCUGAUGGGACCCCCGUCAUGGGGGGAUCCGGUGAUCCUAUGCUGCCUAGAAAAGCAUCGGCGCGAGGUCUUAGCCGCCCGUACCCCAAACCGACACAGGUGAUCAGGUAGAGAAUACCAAGGCGAUCGAGAGAAUUAUGGUUAAGGAACUCGGCAAAAUGCCCCCGUAACUUCGGGAGAAGGGGGGCCCCAACCUUGAACACCACUCGCUGGUGGGAGGGGAUCGGGGCCGCAGAGACCAGGGGGAAGCGACUGUUUACUAAAAACACAGGUCCGUGCGAAGUCGCAAGACGAUGUAUACGGACUGACUCCUGCCCGGUGCUGGAAGGUUAAGAGGACCGGUUAGCCGCAAGGCGAAGCUGAGAAUUUAAGCCCCAGUAAACGGCGGUGGUAACUAUAACCAUCCUAAGGUAGCGAAAUUCCUUGUCGGGUAAGUUCCGACCUGCACGAAUGGAGUAACGACUUCCCCGCUGUCUCAACCAUAAACUCGGCGAAAUUGCAGUACGAGUAAAGAUGCUCGUUACGCGCAGCAGGACGGAAAGACCCCGAGACCUUUACUAUAGUUUGGUAUUGGUGUUCGGAGUGGCUUGUGUAGGAUAGGUGGGAGACGUUGAAGCCCUCACGCCAGUGGGGGUGGAGUCAUCGUUGAAAUACCACUCUGGUCACUUUGGACAUCUAACUUCGGCCCGUGAUCCGGGUCAGGGACAGUGCCUGAUGGGUAGUUUAACUGGGGCGGUUGCCUCCUAAAAAGUAACGGAGGCGCCCAAAGGUUCCCUCAGCCUGGUUGGCAAUCAGGUGUCGAGUGUAAGUGCACAAGGGAGCUUGACUGUGAGAGAGACAUCUCAAGCAGGGACGAAAGUCGGGACUAGUGAUCCGGCGGUACAUUGUGGAAUGGCCGUCGCUCAACGGAUAAAAGGUACCUCGGGGAUAACAGGCUGAUCUUGCCCAAGAGUCCAUAUCGACGGCAUGGUUUGGCACCUCGAUGUCGGCUCGUCG
This 1312-nucleotide ribosomal RNA is filed under the name metagenome. RNAcentral's name for it is "bacterial LSU rRNA". It matches the Rfam family "Bacterial large subunit ribosomal RNA", at positions 1360 to 2542 of the family's 2925-position model. The record is from RNAcentral.